Onychostruthus taczanowskii (white-rumped snowfinch) is the source of this 2312-nucleotide RNA transcript. It is a transcript of the gene named RNA polymerase I and III subunit C, with no coding region annotated. Lineage: Eukaryota; Metazoa; Chordata; Aves; Passeriformes; Passeridae. The record is from RefSeq and is a predicted model, not a curated record. The transcript has 10 exons.
UGUGACGGCGGCCGCGGAGCCGCUCGCAGGCCCGGGAGCGCCGCCCAUCGCCCUCAUGGCGGCCCGGCGGGGCACGGACGAGAUGCGGGACCGCGUGGUGCUGGGCGAGUUCGGCGUCCGCAACGUCCACACCACCGACUUCCCCGGGAACUACCCCGGCUACGAGGACGCCUGGGACCAGCGGCGCUUCGAGGAGGCGUUCCGCGUGGACGUGAUCCGUGAGGAAGAUGACACCCUGGAGUUCGACAUGGUGGGCAUCGACGCCGCCAUCGCCAACGCCUUCCGCCGCAUCCUGCUCGCCGAGGUGCCAACGAUGGCUGUAGAGAAGGUCUUUGUGUACAACAACACAUCCAUUGUGCAGGAUGAAAUUCUGGCUCAUAGGCUGGGCCUCAUCCCUAUCCGAGCUGACCCACGGCUCUUUGAGUACAGAAACCAAGGAGAUCAAGAAGGCACUGAAAUUGAUACUCUGCAGUUUCAGCUGAAAAUCAAAUGCAAACGAAAUCCUCAUGCUGCCAAGGAAUCAUCUGAUCCUGAUGAACUCUAUUUCAAUCAUAAAGUGUACAGUAAGCACAUGACAUGGGUGCCCCUGGGGAAUCAGACAGACCUUUUUCCAGAUGCUGACUUCCGACCCGUUCACGAUGACAUCCUCAUUGCACUGUUGCGACCUGGGCAGGAAAUAGAUGUGCUUAUGCACUGUGUCAAGGGUAUAGGUAAGGAUCACGCCAAGUUCUCUCCUGUGGCCACAGCCAGUUAUCGACUGCUUCCUGACAUUACUCUCCUGCAGCCCAUUGAGGAUGAGGCAGCUGAGACGUUGCAGAAGUGCUUUUCCCCUGGAGUCAUUGAGAUCCAGAAUAUCAAUGGAAAAAAGGUGGCAAGAGUAGCCAAUGCACGGCUGGACACAUUCAGCAGAGAAGUUUUCCGACAUGAGGGCCUGAAAAACCUCGUGCGCCUGGCAAGAGUACGGAACCAUUACAUCUUUUCCGUGGAGUCCACGGGUAUCUUGCCUCCAGAUGUGCUGGUGAGUGAAGCCAUCAAGAUCCUGAUGGGAAAGUGUCAGCGCUUCCUCAAUGAGCUGGACUCUGUGUCUAUGGAGUGACCAGGCUGUUGGGAAAGCAGAAACCUGCACUGCUGUUCUGGGCUUCCUGCACCUGCCUUUAAGAAUUCCUCUUCCAUAGGCAGGGGUCUGCUCAGAGUCCAAGGACUGUCUGGAUUUUCUGUUGGUAAUGAGCCGUAGUGAGAAGAUGCACUAAAAUAAAGGCUUUUUUUUUUUUUUUUUUUUAAAAGCUGUCUCUUGUGCCAUUCACAAUUGUGAAACCAUAAUACAUGGAGAAGAAGGUGGCAGCGUGUCUAAAGAUGAGUAACAGCAUUCAUUUUAGAUGGUAUGCAGUGAGGAGGACUGAUGGGGCAGCGUAGUAAAGCACUUCACAGCAGGUCAGUGAGGUUUAACGAGUUGCUAUCAGGGCAUGGCUGGUUUGUGGGUGUUUCACACCAGCUCAGGGAUAGUUAAUACGAUACAGAAAAGGCUGUACUGUCAGAGGACUGGAACAUCUACCCUCUGAAGAAACUGAGAGAGCUGGGAUUGUUCAGCCUGGAGAACAAGAAAGCUCCCGGGAAACCCUGUUCUGGCCUUUCAGUAUAUAAAGGGGGCAUGGAGAAACUUUGCUUUUUUUAUAGUGACAGGCUGAGGGCCAACAGUUUUGAACUGGAAGAAGGUAGACUGGUAUUGAACAUUAGGUAUUUUUUACAAUGAGGGUAGAGGUAAGUUGUCACAGGUUGCCCAGAGCUGGGAAUGCCCCAUCCCUGGAAGUGUUCAAGCCAGAUUAGAUGGGGCUUUGAGCAACAUGUUUGAGUGUUAAGAGUUGAAAAUGUCUGGGAGUAUUGGUGUGUCCCAGUUGCUGAAGUCAAUGCACACUUUAGUGCUAGACCUCAGCAAGUCAGUAGAAUGAAAAUUUGUUUCCUUGGGGCAGAAUUACUUAGAGUGUAAACAUCCUGUUAGAGUGAACAUGCUGCAGGGAGGAGGUACACUUGGCAUCCUGGCCCCAGCCCCAGCCUGUCCCAUGCCAUGCUGCAGACCCAGGCAUAUGCUGCAUGUGCCUAUGAUGCAUUAUAUCUAUCUAUCAUCUAUCUAUCUAUCUAUCUAUCUAUCUAUCUAUCUAUCUAUCUAUUUCUCUGUGCUAUUGCUUCACAUGCUUAUGGGACAGACCCUUGAAAAGUCUAAGGGUUUUGCUUUGACAGCACAUACCCUCAAGCUGUAAGCUGGGACCUAGAAUUAAAAUAAACCAGCAGUGACAAAUACUUACCUCAAAAAUACA